RNAcentral lists this ribozyme (76 nucleotides) under Crocodylus porosus (Australian saltwater crocodile). RNAcentral's name for it is "Mammalian CPEB3 ribozyme (ENSCPRG00005015048.1)". It matches the Rfam family "Mammalian CPEB3 ribozyme". Rfam says of the family: The mammalian CPEB3 ribozyme is a self cleaving RNA located in the second intron of the CPEB3 gene which belongs to a family of genes regulating messenger RNA polyadenylation. The record is from Rfam by way of RNAcentral. Lineage: Eukaryota; Metazoa; Chordata; Crocodylia; Crocodylidae.
AACGGUGAAGCUAGGCCACAGCAGAAGCACUCAUGGCACGCCCUGGUCAGAUGCCAACGAAUCUGUGAAUCCUGCU